CCUACGUGCUGCAGCAGUGGGGAAUAUUGCGCAAUGGGCGAAAGCCUGACGCAGCGACGCCGCGUGAGGGAUGAAGGUCUUCGGAUCGUAAACCUCUGUCAGCAGGGAAGAACGGUAACUGUGCUAAUCAGCAGUGAAUUGACGGUACCUGCAAAGGAAGCACCGGCUAACUCCGUGCCAGCAGCCGCGGUAAUACGGAGGGUGCGAGCGUUAAUCGGAAUUACUGGGCGUAAAGCGCUCGUAGGCGGUAUGUCAAGUCAAGGGUGAAAUCCCCGCGCUCAACGUGGGAACUGCCUUUGAAACUGGCAAACUGGAGUGUGUGAGAGGAUAGUGGAAUUCCAGGUGUAGGAGUGAAAUCCGUAGAUAUCUGGAGGAACAUCAGUGGCGAAGGCGACUAUCUGGCACAUAACUGACGCUGAGGAGCGAAAGCGUGGGUAGCAAACAGGAUUAGAUACCCGAGUAGUC
This 465-nucleotide ribosomal RNA is filed under the name uncultured bacterium. RNAcentral's name for it is "partial 16S ribosomal RNA". It matches the Rfam family "Bacterial small subunit ribosomal RNA", at positions 338 to 795 of the family's 1533-position model. The record is from RNAcentral.